GAAAAAACUGGACAGAAAUUUAUAGAAAACAAAAGGCAUAAAGUUAGGAUAGCGAAUAAAAAGUUAAUUUAAAAGGCAAUUUUUCUUAGCAAAUUAAGAAAACAAAAAUAUGCUUUACUUUCAUUUAAUUUAAUUUAACAUAUGAAAAACAUAUUACUAGAUUAAUUAUACUGCAUGAAGUUUGAUUAUUUAAUCUUUACAAGAAAGUUCAAUUUCCUCUGAUGAACAUAAGGGAGAGUUGCUAGUUCACAAGGCUCCUCACUUUGUAAGGGCUAGGAAAGGGUUGUCUACCCAAAGUAAAGUAAGCUUCUCCCUAAAUUUUGCAGAUUUGUUUCCAUGACUUGACACCAUAAACUUCCAGUCCCCACAGAGCAACUUUAACAUUACACCAAGCCUUGCCCACUCCAAUGAAUACUGAACUUUAAAAAAGAUAAUAAAAAACUAUUCAACUUAAUGUAUAAAUUAAUAGCUGCAUGUAAAGCAUGGGCAAUUACCUCGUGCACUCAAUAAGUCAUAAAAUUUUUCUAUAUCGAGAAACAAGGGAAGUUCAGUAUUUCUGAAACUUAAAAUGUCUUGAUGGAAAUCCUAUUCCAAAUAUAAUUGGUUUUAUAAGAAGCAAGACUGCCUAGUAUUUGAUUUACUGACUCACUUUUUGACCAAAUAUACCAGUAAAAACUACUAACUAUCCAUUAAAGAAGAAUUUAAGGAUCAUAAAACUAACAUCAGGUUUCUUCAGCUAGCAAUAAAUUUUAGGUGCAUGCAGAAGUAAAUAAUCAAUCGGAUUUCUUAAAAAGCAACUCGUGUGUGUGACUGUGAUUACGGAAAUAAAAACAGAUACCUUACCAAAGAAUAAGAUUUUAUGACAAAUUUUGCAUUGCAGUUUGAUCUACAAAUAAGUUUCUUCUUCUUUACUUCUCACAGUGAUUUAAGUAGAAUGAGAGAAC
RNAcentral lists this unclassified non-coding RNA (944 nucleotides) under Hevea brasiliensis (rubber tree). The record is from RNAcentral. Lineage: Eukaryota; Viridiplantae; Streptophyta; Magnoliopsida; Malpighiales; Euphorbiaceae.